RNAcentral lists this long non-coding RNA (596 nucleotides) under Gallus gallus (chicken). RNAcentral's name for it is "lncRNA (ENSGALG00010026556.1)". Lineage: Eukaryota; Metazoa; Chordata; Aves; Galliformes; Phasianidae. The record is from RNAcentral.
GCAUUGCACGCACCUGAGCUCCCCGGGCUGGCCCGGCCUUCCGCCACGUGCUCCGUCACUGCUUCAGGCCGGGACUCAGCACUGCCACUACAGAUGGGGUGGUGGCACAUGGGGAGGAUGGGGAUGCCAUGGGAUGGUGGCACAUGGAAGGGUGGAGACGUUAUGCGAUGGUGGCACAGGAACAGGAUUGAGAUGCGGUGGGAUGGUGGCAUAGGGACAGGAUGGAGAUGCCCGAGGAUGGUGGUACAUGGAAGGAUGGAGAUGGGGUGGGAUGGUGGCACAUGGAAGGGUGGAGGUGUUCAGAAAUGGUGACACAUGGGCAGAGUGGAGGUGCUGUGGGAUGGUGGCACAUGGGAGGAUGGAGACAUCCAGUUUGGCACAGGGACAGGACGGAGAUGCGGUGGGAUGGUGGCACAUGGAAGGAUGGAGACGGUAUGCGAUGGUGGCACAGGGACAGGAUGGAGAUGUGGUGGGAUGGUGGCACAUGGAAGGGUGGAGACAUCCAGUUUGGCACAGGGACAGGAUGGGGAUGCGAUGGGAUGGUGGCACAGGGAUAGGACGGAGGCGCUGAGAAGCGGCGGCGCAGGGCAGGUGGG